Molecule: ribosomal RNA, 462 nt
Filed under: Triticum aestivum (bread wheat)
Lineage: Eukaryota; Viridiplantae; Streptophyta; Magnoliopsida; Poales; Poaceae
Description: partial small subunit ribosomal RNA
Source: RNAcentral
AUGUGCGCUAAGAUCUUUAUCUGGUUGGCGACGCAAGACCGCUGCUGGACUGUUGCGCGACGUGCGCGCCAUGGGCUUUCCGACAACCCCACCCGCGUCUUCUGUGACCAGACCUUGGAGACCAUCGAUCACCUGCUCGCUGGAUGCCCCUUCUCCCGCGCUGUCUGGCAUAGCACACUUGCUGCGUGCAGACUCAAGGUUGACAUCCCGACCCCUACGUCCCGGUUCAUCGAAUGGUGGAGUUCGGCUGUGGCGUCCUCCCCUCCGUCUCUGCGCAAAGGUGUUGCCUCCCUGGGUAUUCUGGUGGCUUGGAGCAUCUGGAAGCAUCGCAAUGCUGUCAUCUUCGACGCUGCUGCACCUUCCUAUGACCGCCUCACUCAGUCCAUCCUCGAUGAGGCACACACGUGGGCUCUGGCCGGAGCUAGAGGAUUGGCGGCGUUUUCUAUUUUUGAGCCACCUUAG